This 400-nucleotide ribosomal RNA is filed under the name uncultured bacterium. RNAcentral describes it as "bacterial SSU rRNA". It matches the Rfam family "Bacterial small subunit ribosomal RNA", at positions 355 to 772 of the family's 1533-position model. The record is from RNAcentral.
UGAGGAAUAUUGGACAAUGGGGGAAACCCUGAUCCAGCCAUGCCGCGUGAGUGAAGAAGGCCUUAGGGUUGUAAAGCUCUUUCAAUGGUGAAGAUAAUGACGGUAGCCAUAGAAGAAGCCCCGGCUAAAUUCGUGCCAGCAGCCGCGGUAAUACGAAUGGGGCAAGCGUUGUUCGGAAUCACUGGGCUUAAAGCGUGCGCAGGCGGAUUUGCAAGUCAGAAGUGAAAGCCUUGGGCUCAACCCAAGAAUUGCUUUUGAAACUGCAAAUCUAGAAUCCGGUAGAGGUUGGGAGAAUUCCUAGUGUAGAGGUAAAAUUCGCAGAUAUUAGGAGGAAUACCAGUGGCGAAGGCGCCCAACUGGGCCGGUAUUGACGCUCAUGUACGAAAGCGUGGGGAGCAAA